RNAcentral lists this ribosomal RNA (264 nucleotides) under uncultured bacterium. Its description in RNAcentral is "partial 16S ribosomal RNA". It matches the Rfam family "Bacterial small subunit ribosomal RNA", at positions 88 to 353 of the family's 1533-position model. The record is from RNAcentral.
CUGACGAGUGGCGGACGGGUGAGUAAUGUCUGGGAAACUGCCUGAUGGAGGGGGAUAACUACUGGAAACGGUAGCUAAUACCGCAUAACGUCGCAAGACCAAAGAGGGGGACCUUCGGGCCUCUUGCCAUCGGAUGUGCCCAGAUGGGAUUAGCUAGUAGGUGGGGUAACGGCUCACCUAGGCGACGAUCAGCAGCCGACCUGAGAGGGUGACCGGCCACAUUGGGACUGAGACACGGCCCAAACUCCUACGGGAGGCAGCAUG